AUGCAAUCUACCUUUUGCAGAGGGAUAGCCCAGAGAAAUUUGGAUUAAUACCUCAUAGUAUGGAACAAUCGCAUGAUUGAGCUAUUAAAGUCACAACGGCAAAAGAUGAGCAUGCGUCCCAUUAGUUAGUUGGUAAGGUAACGGCUUACCAAGACUACGAUGGGUAGGGGUCCUGAGAGGGAGAUCCCCCACACUGGUGCUGAGACACGGACCAGACUCCUACGGGAGGCAGCAGUGAGGAAUAUUGGACAAUGGGCGCAAGCCUGAUCCAGCCAUGCCGCGUGCAGGAUGACGGUCCUAUGGAUUGUAAACUGCUUUUGUACAGGAAGAAACACCUCUACGUGUAGAGACUUGACGGUACUGUAAGAAUUAGGAUCGGCUAACUCCGUGCCAGCAGCCGCGGUAAUACGGAGGAUCCAAGCGUUAUCCGGAAUCAUUGGGUUUAAAGGGUCCGUAGGCGGUCUUAUAAGUCAGUGGUGAAAUCUCCCCGCUCAACGGGGAAACGGCCAUUGAUACUGUAAGACUUGAAUUAUUAGGAAGUAACUAGAAUAUGUAGUGUAGCGGUGAAAUGCUUAGAGAUUACAUGGAAUACCAAUUGCGAAGGCAGGUUACUACUAAUGGAUUGACGCUGAUGGACGAAAGCGUGGGUAGCGAACAGGAUUAGAUACCCUGGUAGUCCACGCCGUAAACGAUGGAUACUAGCUGUUGGGGGCAACUUCAGUGGCUAAGCGAAAGUGAUAAGUAUCCCACCUGGGGAGUACGUUCGCAAGAAUGAAACUCAAAGGAAUUGACGGGGGCCCGCACAAGCGGUGGAGCAUGAGUUUAAUUCGAUGAUACGCGAGGAACCUUACCAAGGCUUAAAUGUAGAUUGACCGUUUUG
This 880-nucleotide ribosomal RNA is filed under the name uncultured bacterium. RNAcentral describes it as "bacterial SSU rRNA". It matches the Rfam family "Bacterial small subunit ribosomal RNA", at positions 119 to 1003 of the family's 1533-position model. The record is from RNAcentral.